GAUGAACGCUGGCGGCGUGCUUAACACAUGCAAGUCGAACGGAAAGGCUCCUGCUUGCAGGGGUACUCGAGUGGCGAACGGGUGAGUAACACGUGGGGGAUCUGCCCUGCACUUCGGGAUAAGCCUGGGAAACUGGGUCUAAUACCGGAUAGGACGAUGGUUUGGAUGCCAUUGUGGAAAGUUUUUCGGUGUGGGAUGAGCUCGCGGCCUAUCAGCUUGUUGGUGGGGUAAUGGCCUACCAAGGCGUCGACGGGUAGCCGGCCUGAGAGGGUGUACGGCCACAGUGGGACUGAGAUACGGACCAGACUCCUACGGGAGGCAGCAGUGGAGAAUAUUGCACAAUAGGCGCAAGCAUGAUGCAGCGACGCCGCGUGGGGGAUGACGGCCUUCGGGUUGUAAACUCCUUUCGCUAGGGACGAAGCGCAAGUGACGGUACCUGGAGAAGAAGCACCGGCUAACUACGUG
Molecule: ribosomal RNA, 465 nt
Filed under: uncultured bacterium
Lineage: Bacteria
Description: partial 16S ribosomal RNA
Rfam family: Bacterial small subunit ribosomal RNA
Source: RNAcentral